UUUAAAUGUAAAAUAAAUAUACUAAAGGAGUAAUAGUUAUGUUCUUUAAAUUUAAAGAUUUUGGCGGUAUUUUAGUCUAUUCAGAGGAACCUGUUCUGUAAUUGAUAGUCCACGAAUUACUUUACUUUAUUUUAAUAAUUUGUAUAUCGUCGUAUAUAAAGAAUUUUAUAAGAAUAUAAAUUUUUAAGAUUUUUAAUUAGUAAAUAUAUCAGAUCAAGGUGCAGUUUAUAAUAAAGUAGAAAUGGGUUACAAUAAAUUUAUUUAUAUGGAUUGAUGAUUGAAAAAUUGUUUUGAAGGUGGAUUUGAUAGUAAUAAAAUUUAAUUUAAUUUUAUGAUUAUAGCUCUAAAAUAUGU
RNAcentral lists this ribosomal RNA (354 nucleotides) under Thermonectus nigrofasciatus. Its description in RNAcentral is "partial 12S ribosomal RNA". The record is from RNAcentral. Lineage: Eukaryota; Metazoa; Arthropoda; Insecta; Coleoptera; Dytiscidae.